GCCUCUUAGAGUGUAGGACUUCGCGUUCGAAGCUUUGAGAGGUCGCAGAGAAUCGGUGGCUGCGACUGUUUAACAAAAACACAGCACUGUGCCAACACGAAAGUGGACGUAUACGGUGUGACGCCUGCCCGGUGCCGGAAGGUUAAGUGAUGGGGUGCAAGCUCUUGAUCGAAGCCCCGGUAAACGGCGGCCGUAACUAUAACGGUCCUAAGGUAGCGAAAUUCCUUGUCGGGUAAGUUCCGACCCGCACGAAUGGCGUAACGAUGGCCACACUGUCUCCUCCUGAGACUCAGCGAAGUUGAAGUGUUUGUGAAGAUGCAAUCUCCCCGCUGCUAGACGGAAAGACCCCGUGAACCUUUACUGUAGCUUUGCAUUGGACUUUGAAGUGGUUUGUGUAGGAUAGGUGGGAGGCUAAGAAGCCAGGACGCUAGUUCUGGUGGAGCCGACCUUGAAAUACCACCCUGACUCCUUUGAGGUUCUAACCUUGGUCCGUGAUCCGGAUUGGGGACAGUGCAUGGUAGGCAGUUUGACUGGGGCGGUCUCCUCCCAAAGUGUAACGGAGGAGUUCGAAGGUUACCUAGGUACGGUCGGAAAUCGUGCUGAUAGUGCAAUGGCAAAAGGUAGCUUAACUGCGAGACCGACAAGUCGAGCAGGUGCGAAAGCAGGACAUAGUGAUCCGGUGGUUCUGAAUGGAAGGGCCAUCGCUCAACGGAUAAAAGGUACUCCGGGGAUAACAGGCUGAUACCGCCCAAGAGUUCACAUCGACGGCGGUGUUUGGCACCUCGAUGUCGGCUCAUCACAUCCUGGGGCUGUAGCCGGUCCCAAGGGUAUGGCUGUUCGCCAUUUAAAGUGGUACGUGAGCUGGGUUCAAAACGUCGUGAGACAGUUUGGUCCCUAUCUGCAGUGGGCGUUGGAAGUUUGACGGGGGCUGCUCCUAGUACGAGAGGACCGGAGUGGACGCACCUCUGGUGUACCGGUUGUGACGCCAGUCGCAUCGCCGGGUAGCUAAGUGCGGAAGAGAUAACCGCUGAAAGCAUCUAAGCGGGAAACUUGCCUGAAGAUGAGACUUCCCUGGAGGCUUGACCUCCCUGAAGAGUCGUUCGAGACCAGGACGUUGAUAGGUCGGGUGUGGAAGCGCUGUGAGGCGUGAAGCUAACCGAUACUAAUUGCUCGUGAGGCUUGAUCCUAU
This 1189-nucleotide ribosomal RNA is filed under the name Chromobacterium amazonense. RNAcentral describes it as "bacterial LSU rRNA". It matches the Rfam family "Bacterial large subunit ribosomal RNA", at positions 1750 to 2925 of the family's 2925-position model. The record is from RNAcentral. Lineage: Bacteria; Pseudomonadati; Pseudomonadota; Betaproteobacteria; Neisseriales; Chromobacteriaceae.